GCUAGGCUGACGCCAUGGCACUCUAGCCCAGGCAACAGAGUGAGAAAAAAAAAAGAAAAACAAAUUUCAUUUUAAUCAGGAAAUUAGCUGUGAAGGAAUAUAAUUGUUUUAGGAAAUUGGAAAGUGCUCAUAUUAGCCUUUACUAUUUCCACUGUUGUUUUAAAUAUAUAUUUGACUUGCCUCUUUUAUUUUCCCUCCAAAAAUAUAGACAAUAGAUUAAUUCAUCAUGAUAUUACUGAUAGACUUUAAUAAUAACUUUUGGUUGAGAGGCUAGUGUGCAUUAGAAGUAGAAGAAAAAAAAGUCAGUUUACUUCAGAAGGGAUAAGAGGGGGACUUUAUGGUUUUUGUAGGUUUGAGAUAUAGUCCUUGCACUGUAAUAUGAAUGGAAUUUUCCUCCAAUGUUCUUUUCCUUUGGUGAAGGAGCCCAGGCUCUGGACGUUCUUGUGUCACAAUCAUGGCUUGCUUUGUGACCCUAAGCAAGGUUACUUUUAACCAUUCUGAAUCAGAUUCCUCAUCUUUGAUUUAUCAUAACGAAUUCUGGAGAUAAUUAGAUGAAAUAUUAAAUAUAAAGUGCCAAUACAUAAUAAGGCAUUGAUAAGGCAGCCAAUAAAGGAUGCCUUAUUAAGCAACUUAACUAUUUUGGAAGACUGGAAUUUCAUAUUGCUGGGGGAAAGUUGAAGAGCCAAUGUAGAAUACAUGCUUCAAUGUUAACCCAUUGGAGAGGUGAGGAUUGGGGGUAUUUUUAUACUAAUUCCUAUCAGUUAUUGGUUGAAAGUUGCUACUGGUAAGGUUGAUUACCUGGCAUUUUGCUUCUGCCACUGGGGUGGCAAAGUAAGCUCCAGCAAUAACAAAAAGAAAACCUUAGUCAAAGAAAGACAGGUGCUGGCAGUUGAAAGUCAGGGCCCUGUGCACUGAACUGGUUAAAUGUGAAGGGAUAUGGGUAGGUCACUGACAAGAGUCUUCUACAAUUAUGCUACCAUGUGAUAGUAAAGCUUUAGAAUUCUAACAUUUCUUUUCUUUUUUCCUGGGGAAUGAUAAUCAGGUACUUUUUUCCAGGAUGGCAUGUUGGGGAAACUCACAGAUUUUGACACAGACAUAUUUUAGUCUUCCAAGGUUUCAGAAAAGGAUGAAACAUAAUUUCUUGUCUUAUUCCAGGAAGCCCACUAGUAUCUUACAAAUAACACAAUUGUUUCAAACAUUGGGAGAAAAAAUUUCCAACAUUUCCCCAAAUUGCUCCCCAUAUAUUCAAAUUUUCUUUGAGUUUUUACUUAGAUAUAUAGAUAUGCAGGCUUGAUAAGAAAAUUCUUUUCAACAGAUUUAGGCAUUCACCAAGAAAUAAGGGAGAAUUGUUGAUGUUUAGUUAGAGCAGUUGAAUGAAUCUUUCCAGACUGCUGAAAAAGAAAAAAUGCCAAAGUAAUUUUUUACAGACUCACAAAUAUGAAAUAUUCAUAGUUUUGUUCUUGAUUUUCUAUUUUGCCAAUGGAAAGGAAAAGAAUUGAAGAGCUAAGUGAUAUAGUAUUUCCUUUUGAGAAACUGGAUAAAUAAAAGUAGGAACUCAGUGUGAGAUUCAAAGGGUAAAGAGACCGAUAAAAUUCCAUUAAUACAUUUUAAAGAAGAGUAACUUUGUAUAAUAUGGAUUUUACAAAUUGUUUUUGCAUUUAUUAUCUUUUUUAUUUUCCAUACUUCUGACAUAGAUGGGAGAAGUUUGAUUUUAUUUAUUUUAUUUUACUUGUAAGGAAAACAAAGAAAAAAAUGAAUGAAAAACAAUUCUAGAGAACUUGCAAAUGAUUACUUGAGUGAAGAAUCUUUUCCAUUAGGAGAAGCAGAAAUGAAGUAAAGGGCAGCAAUUCAAAAGUAUAAUUGUGAAAUGGAUUAGGAGCUAAAAACCGGAUGGGGAAAGACGCAGAAACUCAUUCUUUUGGACCAUGUUGUUUAGAAACUCUAUAGGACUGAAUGUCUUCAAGGACCCACAUCAAAGGAAGAAGCAUGAGCCCCAGAAUAUAAAGCUUUAAAAGUGGACUGUUAUUUUAGGUACAAAUGCCAGUGGAAACUUAAGGUUUUUAUAAGGAUCGUUAUUGUUUUGUUAGGGCUCAGAUUUUAAAGUGUCAUAGGUUUUGAGUGGUCUGGCACUAACUAUUUUCACUGUAAGUCCAGCUAUUUUUAUUUUGCAGAACAUGAGGUUAUUCGGGAAUGCAUAUAUGGUGUUAUAGCACAAACACCUCUACUCGAUUCUGGCUUAGUGGUAGUCACCUUUUUGAGCAACGGGUAGUUUGAAUUACCCUUUAUCCUUUUUCUUUUCAGGGCCUAUUAUAGUGUUUGACAGAGCCGACACUAGCCCAUUUGCAUGCAUUAGAAAAAGAUUUUCCUUCCUCUGAGCAUAUUUUGGUCUUUAAUUGCAGGGCUUGGAAUACAGAACUCUUUUUGGAUUUUAUUAAUAGUUCUGCUUGCCCUUUUAGCUAGGCCCUUGUGCAGUGUUUAGUUUGAAAACACUACAUGGUUGCCUGGCUUCCUGAACAAGAGACACAUACAUAAAUGCACAUACACACGCAUGCACACACAUAAUGCUUGUUGAACUGAUUGUUCCUUUAGCAAAUAAAUAUAUUUUUGUUAGUUUAACAAUUCAUUUACAGUAUUUCCUUUUAAAAAAAUAUCUCUAGUUGUCAAUGUUUGAUGUCAUAUGAGGGAUUUUACAAACACAUUUAAGACCAUUUAAUAGACAAUUAACUUUCAAAAUCCUUUCCAUACAAGAGAAAGGGGGUAGUAGUGAUAAAGUGCAUAAGAAUUCCCAAACUUCUCGUUUUUUUCUUUUUCUUCCUGUUUUUGGGGUGGAGGGAUAGCAGGAGAACAAGACUAAAUUUGUCCAUCUGAUGUGUGAACUAUUUUAAACUAAUACUGAAAAUUUCAGUUUGGGUAGUUGACAAAGUAGGUUCUGCCAGAGUUCUAAGCAAAUUGCAUAAUAUAUCAAGAUGUGUUUACUCCCUUUCAUAUAUACUUCCUUUUGGAACUCUUUUUAUGUUCUAGUCUUAGAUUGUCCUCAGACAUCCUAAAUCACACCCUUUAAUUUGUUUUAUCUUCGUGCUAAAAUACCUAGAGUUCACGACUAUUUAUUUAUUUUGAUAUUUGUUUAUUUCAUGAAUGUGUGUGUACAUGUUUACAACUAGAUGGCAGAUUAUUAAAGUUAUUAACCUGUAUAUCAGUAAGGCUUAAUUUUCUUAAAGACAAUGAGCAUUUUAUAAGAAUUUGUUAAUCCAAAUGAUCCUAAUGGCAUAAAAUAUUUUUGAGGGAGAGGUAUAUUGGUUAAGGCAUAUGCUAAGCUAUCCUAACACAGAGACCUCAACAUAAAUAUAUAGAAUUUAUUUUCCUUUCAUUUAACAAUCAAGAAUUAGAUGUUUCACAGGGUUUAGCAGAGACCUGUUGGUUUUGCUGUCCUCUGGGAUGCUACCUUUGCCUGUAUUGUUGAGAUUCACUAAUACUUCAUGUCAUUUCCAUACUUAAUCAUUUUAAGGACUUAAUCAUGUACCAGUCAUUUAUAAUGGCCAGACCCAGAAGUUGCACACAUCAUUUUGGCUCACAUUUUGGCUUCUUGUCAAGGACUUCAUCACAUAUAGUCAGACCUAGCUGCAUUUAAGAUUGGGAAAUAAAGUCUAGCUGAGCUGUUAAGGACUCAGCUAAAACUCAAGGAGUCCCAUUAUCCAAAAGGUAUAAGAGAAUGGAUGUUAGGGGAAAAUAUGCAGUCUGUUCAAUUUGCCUCUUUGGCCACCCAAAUAUCCAUGUACUUCUCGUACAUAAAACAUACCAACUCUUCAAGUAUGAUAAACCAAAGUCAUAUUCAGUGGAUGGAGUAAAAUCCUUUCCAUCAGGUCCCGAGGUGGUUCUUCAGGAUAUGGUGACCUAUAAAUUGAUAAGCAAGUUUUUUUAACUCUCUUGACCUCUUGCUGCUUGUAUGUAUGAUGGAGUAGGGACAAGAAAAUCACAAUAGAAACUUCCAUUGGGAAAAAAGAAGAAUGGGAUAGAUAUACAUGACAGUUCUUGCACCUUAUAAUAAUAAGACUUAUUGCUCUAGCAGUGGAACAAGAUCUCACCAGAACCCUAAUAUUGCUUUCUGAGAGAAGCUCCCUUGUCCUUUGUCCGUGACUUUACUCUUUGGGAAUUAUUCUUUGUGCAUUAUUCUUUGUGAUUAUAUUUGAAGUGGGUAUUUACCCAUAUUAGAGGCUCCACUGACUACCUUCUCACUCUGCUUUCUGUUGGGGUAGAUUAGGCUUCCAGGGGAAGUUUGUGUUAGAUUUUUGGCAAUAGAGUUCUCUCAGAAACAUAGAUUUCCAUUCUGUUUUUCUCUAGUCAGUUAUAUGUGAAAAUACCGCAGCCACAGAUCUUAUCUGGUCAUAGUUGUUAAGCCUACAGACUUGUUAAUUUGCUAUUUAUUUCCCUUAGACCAUCCAUCGUCCCUUAUUUAAUGACCACCUAAGUGUAAUGGCUACUAUAUACCUACUUUAACAAAACUUGAAAGUAAGCUAAAAUUGAUGAAGUUGAACAGCAAAUAAUUUAAUAACCUGCUAAAACAAAACUUAUCACUCUUUAAAGGAAGACAACAAAACCCACACAUUCAACAAUGUAAUAUUCCUAUACCUAUAGUAUAUGUCUUUAUAUAAAACCAGCUAUUAGACAUUUGUUUAUAUACUUAUAUAUAUAAGUGUCCAAGUAUUGUGUCCAAUAUAUGUGUCCAAGUAUUAAACAUGCAAAGAAACAGAAGAAAAAUCAAAACUAGAAACAGACCUGGAAGUGACAGAGAUGAUGAAAUUAAUCAGCAAAGAUAUUGAAAUAUCUAUUGUAAUUAUGCUCAAGGACUUAAAGGAAAACAUGAACAUAAUGAGAGAAAUUUAAGAUGUCAGAAAGAACUAUUGAGCUUUCAGAAGUGAAAAAUUAAGUUUCUGAAAUGAAAACUACUUUUUUAGCUUAACAGGAAAACAGGCAUUCAAAAUAAAUGGUUAACAAAUAAAAAAAAAAUCAUUGCUGACUUCUCACCAGAAGUUAUGUAAGCCAGAAAAAAAGAAAAAAUGGAAUGAUAUAUUUUACAGUGCUGAAAGAGGAAAAAAAGUCAACCUAAAAUUC
Molecule: non-coding RNA, 5109 nt
Organism: Microcebus murinus (gray mouse lemur)
Lineage: Eukaryota; Metazoa; Chordata; Mammalia; Primates; Cheirogaleidae
Source: RefSeq, a predicted model, not a curated record